RNAcentral lists this non-coding RNA (117 nucleotides) under Nomascus leucogenys (northern white-cheeked gibbon). Lineage: Eukaryota; Metazoa; Chordata; Mammalia; Primates; Hylobatidae. The record is from Rfam by way of RNAcentral.
GCUGGGUGUGGUGGCUCAUGCCUGUAAUCCCAGCACUUUGGGAGGCUGAGGCAGGUGGAUCGCCUGAGGUCAGGAGUUCCAGACCAGCCUGGCCAACAUGGCGAAACCCUGUCUCUA